UUCCAUGUUUGGUCUUCAGCAUGACUUUCUAUGAUCACCAAUGUUCAUCCUAACCCAUUUGUUCCUCUUUUAUCAUCUUAUCCUGCAUACCCUAAUUUGUCUCUAUGUGCUGUUUGUUGUCUUUCGUUACUUCGUCGUGGUCCAUUCUGCAAAGAAAGGAAAGUGUUUCCUUAACCCCCUUGGUGUUUACAGUUUAUCGGUAUAUUGCACAAAGCCAGUUCCUAAAGACACCUUCAUACCUGUCAUCUCAGCUGGAGAAUAAUAUUCCUUGUGUGAUCCCAGAAGAAGUUGAGCUUGAAUCUCUUGAUACGAAUGACAACCAGGUGCAACAAUGUUCCGAUGAGAC
This 346-nucleotide long non-coding RNA is filed under the name Capsicum annuum. RNAcentral describes it as "long non-coding RNA (CANN_LNC013122)". The record is from RNAcentral. Lineage: Eukaryota; Viridiplantae; Streptophyta; Magnoliopsida; Solanales; Solanaceae.